Rhinopithecus roxellana (golden snub-nosed monkey) is the source of this 1014-nucleotide long non-coding RNA. RefSeq lists it as uncharacterized. Lineage: Eukaryota; Metazoa; Chordata; Mammalia; Primates; Cercopithecidae. The record is from RefSeq and is a predicted model, not a curated record. The transcript has 5 exons.
ACGCCCGCCCGGCGGCCCGGAGUCCCGCCCCACGCCCAGAGCGGGCCAGAGGGCGGGGAACCGAGAACCCCCGCCCUCCGGGCGCCUCUUGCGCCUCGGGGUGGGGUGGCAGGGCUAUUUGGGCCGCGCAGCUGGAAACCUGGGAACUAGGAUUGUAAUCCUGAACUCCUAAAUCCAAACUGCAGACUGGAAGUUACCAAAAAAAAGUCACAGUAGUUCCUUGAUCAGAUACAAAGAUGACAGAGCCCGACAUACCAGGACCUGGAAAGGUCACUGGGGACUCAUCACUGAAGAAGACAGAUCCAUUCCCACGUGGAGCUUACAUUGUGUGGGCAGGAGGCGAAGAGGGGGUCUAAAGGGAAGAGCACUUUGGUCAAAGUAACAGGCGCAUAAAUGCGGAGAAUGAGGAUACCCGGCUUGCUGGAGGAUCAAGGGAAGCGCUGCUGGGUUAGGGUCUCCCCAACCGAGCUGGUCUCGGCAAGUAGCACCCAACGUGGGACCUCGAAUCCAGGCCGAAGGGUCGCCAGAGCCACGGUUGGAACGGAAAACUAGCUGGAGGACACCCGAGUACUCUUAAAGUAAUCCCUGUGGCCAAAAUCGACAGCCGAUUUGGAUACCAUCCAGACACCUAAAACCUUAUCAUGAGCCAUAUGCCAAGGAAGAGACUCUGGGAGCAUCCCGAGGACCCCCCAGUUGCAGCCAUGUCGAGACUAACGCUGAGGAGGACCCCAACUGUCACGAGCAACGUGCAUCGAACACAGCCACCCACCUGGGACAGAUCAAGAAGCUGUCACAGAUGGCAGAAGAAAACCUAAGGAAAGCCAGACAACCAGUCACAAUGAAUAAUUUAAUGGUAGCUAUGAUAGCGGUUAUCACCACUGCCAUGAGCAUUCCUUCAAUAAGGGCUGGUAAUAAUGCCUGGAUGCAAUCACUCUGACACAGUUACACAUGCUUUCUGAUCUCAGUAUUUACCAGAAUAAAUCUGCUCCUAUAAUUGAGGCAUACUGCCCUUAA